UCUGGGAUCUCUCCACUUCCGGGGAAGGAAGGAGAGGUUUUUUGAAUUUGUUGCCGGAGACUUAAGGUUUCCUGAGUCUCUGAUACUUUUCUUGAUUGAUUGUGAAUCUCUGAUAUGUGGAGGACCUGGCUGUAGUCCUUCAGGCUGGGAGAGAGAUUGUACAUCAGGCGCGUGCUCUUCUCCCUGCGAGGCGCCGCGGCUCCGCAGUAGCGGACCCGCAGAGGAAAGGAGGAAGCCAGGGUGGCAGCCGCUGGGUCUCCCGGUUGCCACCAGUCUUACCAUGCUUCCCUGUGAUAUUUGUGGUGAAAUGGUAACCUCAGAAUCAGAUAUGAAGACUCACCUCCUAAUUGUUCACAUGGAAAAUGAAGUUAUAUGUCCAUUUUGCAAGUUGUCAGGUGUAAAUUAUGAUGAAAUGUGCUUUCAUAUUGAAACUGCUCAUUUUGAUCAGAAUGCUCUAGAAAGAAACUUUGAGAGGGUAGACCCAAUACAGUAUGGAACUUCAGAUGACAAGGACAGCUCUCUGCAGAGUACAAUGGAAGCUUGUGCAUCUAGUCAUCCAAAAUGUUCAGCUCAAAGCCCGCCUACCCAUGGUACUUUAAAACAUGAAAUCGUUUACUCAGAGAACUUAAUUGGAUCUAGAAAAUUCCUGAGAAGUAGGGAAAACCAGUCUGACUUAUCUGAAACAAAAGAAUCCAUUUAUGAAACAAUGUAUAGUCCUCCUGAAUGUCCAUUCUGUGGAAUAAUAGAGGAAUGUAGUCAAGAUAUGGAAAAUCAUGUGAAAACAAAGCAUGUCAGUCUUUUAGACACACCAUUAGAAGACUGUGAUCAACCAUUGUAUGACUGCCCUAUGUGUGGUCUCGUCUGCACAAAUUAUCAUAUUCUCCAGGAACAUGUUGACUUGCAUUUAGAAGAAAGGAGCUUUCAACAAGGCAUGGAUAGAAUUCAGUGUUCUGCUGAUCUAGAAUUGGCUCACCAGCUUCAGCAGGAAGAAGACCGGAAGCAAUCUGAGGAGUCAGUACAAGAAAUGGAAGAAUUCCAUAAGCUGCAGCGACAAUAUGGUUUAGAUGGUUCUGGAGGAUAUAAACAACAGCAACUCCGGAAUAUGGAGAUAGAAGUAAAUAGAGGAAGAAUGCAUCCGACUGAGUUUCACAAGAGAAAAGCUGACCUGAUGGAAUCCCUUGCUGCUGGUGUUGAUGACGGAAAAACAAAAACUUCUGGAAUUAUUGAAGCACUUCAUAGAUACUAUCAGAACGCUGCCACAGAUGUGAGGCAUGUGUGGCUUUCUGCAGUGGUGGAUCAUUUUCAUUCUUCUCUAGGUGACAAAGGUUGGGGUUGUGGUUACAGAAAUUUCCAAAUGCUACUUUCGUCCUUAUUGCAGAAUGAGGCUUAUGAUGAUUGCUUGAAAGGUAUGUCAGUUCCUUGUAUCCCAAAAAUUCAGUCUAUGAUUGAAGAUGCAUGGAAAGAAGGUUUUGAUCCUCAGGGGGCCUCUCAACUUAAUAACAGGUUACAGGGAACAAAAGCCUGGAUUGGAGCAUGUGAAGUAUUUACCCUCCUGACUUCCCUGAGGGUCAAGUGCCGUAUUGUUGAUUUUCACAAGGCAACUGGUCCUUCGGGUACACAUCCUCGCUUAUUUGAAUGGAUAUUGAACUAUUAUUCUUCAGAGCAGGAAGGGAAUGCAAAGGUAGUAUGCACAUCCAAACCUCCUAUCUAUCUUCAGCAUCCAGGUUAGUAUAACUCCUAGGUAAGAGGUUAAGAUUUUGAUGAUAGGGAUGUGGGGGAAGUUUUGUGACAUUAGCCUCCCUUCUUGAGUACUAAAGGGCAGUAUUCCUGGCAUCUUGGGGGCCUUUUGCACAUGCUGUUUUCUUUGUGUGUAUCACUCUUCUUUCAUUUUUUUUUUGGUACCGGGGAUCGAACUCAGGUCCUUGCGCUUGCAAGGCAGGCAGCAGAACCACUGGGCUAAAUCCCGGCCCCACUCUCCUUUCAUUGCUCCUCCAUUACCUUCCUCAGAUCUUUAUCCAGAUGUCAUUUUAUUGAAGGCUGCCCCUGCCUCACCUUAUUUAAAAGUUCAUAGUUAGUCCCACAGCCCACCACUGGCAUUUCCUUCAUUUAUCUGCCUUGUUUACAGAGUGCCUGCUCCUCUUUGAAUAUAAGCUCCAUGAAAGCAGGCAUGUUGGUUUGUUUGUUGCUGUCUACCUUACUGCUGCAACCGUGCUGGCAUACAGAUAUGAGAGAAAUUUUAUUGAAUAAUGAUUUGCAUUGACAGGAAUAAAGAGAAGUAAUCAUUCAGGAAUACAAACCAUAAGAAAUUAAGCCCUCCCCAUUGAUAUUCUAGUAUAUAUAACUAACUUCUAUUGGCCUUUUGGACCCAUCAAUGUUUUCGAACUAGGAUAGGUCAUAGUCGAACAGUUAUUGGAAUUGAAGAGAGAAAAAACAAAACAUUAUGUUUACUAAUAUUUGAUCCUGGAUGUCCUUCUCGAGAAAUGCAGAAUCUAUUAAAACAAGACGUCGUGGCUAGUAGUAUCAAGCAACUUCGGAAACUUGUGGGAAAUUUAAAACAUAAGCAGUACCAGAUAGUGG
This is an RNA transcript of Heterocephalus glaber (naked mole-rat), 2577 nucleotides long. It is a transcript of the gene named zinc finger containing ubiquitin peptidase 1, with no coding region annotated. Lineage: Eukaryota; Metazoa; Chordata; Mammalia; Rodentia; Bathyergidae. The record is from RefSeq and is a predicted model, not a curated record.